UACGUAGGGGGCAAGCGUUGUUCGGAAUUACUGGGCGUAAAGGGCGCGUAGGCGGCACGGCAAGUCAGGCGUGAAAGCCCUGGGCUCAACCCGGGAACUGCUUUUGAAACUGCCGAGCUAGAGUGCGGAAGGGGCAACUGGAAUUCCCAGUGUAGCGGUGAAAUGCGUAGAUAUUGGGAAGAACACCUGAGGCGAAGGCGGGUUGCUGGGCCGACACUGACGCUGAGGCGCGAAAGCCAGGGGAGCGAACGGG
Molecule: ribosomal RNA, 253 nt
Filed under: uncultured bacterium
Lineage: Bacteria
Description: partial 16S ribosomal RNA
Rfam family: Bacterial small subunit ribosomal RNA
Source: RNAcentral